GAGAAAUUAGUUAAAAUAUAACAUUAGUAUGUCAUACUAAAAUUAUUAACAAAUUAAUAUUUCUCU
This 66-nucleotide transfer RNA is filed under the name Ducetia japonica. RNAcentral describes it as "tRNA-Asp". The record is from RNAcentral. Lineage: Eukaryota; Metazoa; Arthropoda; Insecta; Orthoptera; Tettigoniidae.